AAGGAAAUAACACUCGAAAUGUAUAUAAGAAAUACUCAAGUUAAUAAAAAAAAAAAAGAAAGAAAUAAAAAAAAAAAAGAUGUUACAACAAGACCACAAACAUUGAGUUACUUAAAGACAUUGAAUGUGAAUUACAUUCUGAACCCUGGAUUUCUCUAUAAAUCGCUAAUGUGUUAGCACUUGCUCCUCUGCCUCGUCAAACAUUAGUUGCGAUCUGUGAGCCUCCAUUUCUUAUUAGUGAGCAGAGUUCUUCAAUAUGCUGUGAUGUUUUCUGUCUUUUUAGUGGCUGUAAUAGAACACAUACAUACAAGUUCCUUGGGGGUAGAAAGGGCUUACUUUUAAGCCAAUUCAAGCGCACCAACCCCCAUAGAGGUAAGUCAACCCUCUUAGAGGGAAGUCAUCGCAGUGGCAGGAGCCAGAAACAGCCAGUUGAAUUGACCCCGUUUUUGCCAAGAAGCAGAAGCAAUAAAUGCUAGUCCUGAGCUCAGCUUCUGCACAUUCCAGUAACCAAAUCCAGGAAAUGUUGCCAGUCACAGUGGGUAAGUCCUCCUGCCACAAUUAACCUACACAGUAUAAGUCAUAAGCCUACCCAGAAGCUCAUCACCCAAAUGAUUCUAGAUUUCAUCAAAUUAACAUUUGAGAUUAACCAUUACACCCGGGAUUACAUGAAUUGCAAGAUGGAAAGAAGGAAGGGAGGGAGGGGGGAACGAAGGGAGAAAGGAAGGGGAGGGAUAGAAUUCAUUUACACAAACAUCCGUGUACACUUCAUAAUGGAAAUGAAGAACAUUCUAAAAAAUUUUGAGUACAAAUUUUAAUAAAAAUAGGUUAUACUGAGUAGAAAUCAACAAAAACCAGUAAAUAGUAUUAACUUACUAUGGUUAAACAAUAAGUGAUAAAUUAGUGAAAAAUAUCAAUUAUUAAUCCACAGUUGCAAAAUCUUAAUAAAAGGAUAAUUUGCACAUUAAGUUGCAGUAAGCAUUCAGCAGGUCUAUAUAUAAUAAAAUUUUAUGUUAAAAAUCUUUUCCCAUUUCUCAAAACCUCUUAAUUCCCAGUUUAUAAUUCUCAGUGUAUCUCAUUGUCACUAUAACAUACACUAUAUGUUACUUUUUAUGAUAUUAAAAUAUUCAGAGAAAUCUACACUUUGUCUGUCAUUUGAAAGCUAAUCUAAUUAGUGAGAUGAAAUGGAGAAUUUAGAAGUCUGUAUUUGAUAGUCUAUUGAUGUCCUUCCCAAAAUAAGGCUUGCAUGGAUUUUCACUAUGAAAUCAGAAACUAACAGCAACAUUUUAAACCCUUGAAUAAUUGCAGAAUUAAUAAAACAGAAGAAAGGGUCUUCACUUGUCUCUUAUUUGAAAUAUUUAAUGUGUAAAGCUAUUUUAUAAUCAAUGUGCCCAUCCUUUGAAAAAGUAAUCAGAAAAUAAUUGCAGGCUCUGGGGAACUCAAGAAUUCAAAUGUCCUUCUUUACUGAACAGUGCCCAUUCUUCAUUGCAACAACACUGUCUUAUUUUGGGUAAUGGCUGUGCAGGUGGAUGAUUCCAAAGAUUCACCACCUUGAAAUAUCUGUUUUGUACUUUUAAACCAUUUGAGGGUCACUCUCAGCAAAUGCUAGAAUCAUUCUGAAAUGAGCAGAAGAUCACAGCCUGGAAUUCCUGGUUCUGAUCUGCUAAAUUUAGAUACAGCUGUCAGACUUCAAGGCCAAGGGGUCAGUCAGGAAUGAAAACAGUAAGAAUAAAAGUUAAAGCCUAGGAAAAAGUGAUCUGUAUCAAAGGGGCCACCGAUUGGGGGUUAUUUACUGGCUUUCAUCUUAGAAGGAAAUAAAUUCCUCAUUUUGACAGUCAAUGAAUUUUCCUAAUUUUUAAAAAGCUGGCUGAAGGGGAAAAGCAAACACCAAGAGGUCUUUUGCAUUCAUGCAGUUAAAAUAUUUCAACUAAACUUUGUUUCAUUGUUUAAACAUGUCUCAACAUAAGAAAGUGGUAUACAAAAGAAAAAAAAAGAGAAUAUUAAGAAAAAUUGAAAAUUAGGAAAGAAACAAGAAUGACAAGGUAAAAAGAAGCAGAGUGAAAAUGAACAAACCAACAAACAAUCAAUCAAAGAAAGAAAAGAAGACAUGAAAAUUAGAGUUUCUCAUUCGCGAACUCGCAUACCCAUCAUUAUAUUUAUGGUGUGUACCCUCCCAUUCAAUAAUAUUAAAAUAUUAACAGAUACUGACACAUUUACACUGCUAUGUGGAAAGCUACUCUUCUGCCAAAUAUAAUGAUUUAAGGCUAAAGCAAAGUUGCACUGAGAUGGCAAGGAAGAAAAAAGUUGAAAUAUCCCUAGUAGACACAGAAAGUGGCUUAUGCAGGGCCUGGGAAACCAGGAAGGAUGAAGAUUAAUGGCCUGCAGCUAUUCUGUCAGAGAUUUGCAGGAGACAAUUUUGCUUUAUUUAUUUGGGCUGACAAACUAAAAUAAGAAGAUUCUGGUACAUACAGGUAUGUUCCAUACAGCACUAGGCAAAAAAAGAAAAACAAUAGACAAUGCUGACAUUCUAAAAGUUUUUGUCAACACACAUAGAAGAGACUGUAAUUUCAAGACAAUUUUGUACCUGGUAAUAAUUCGUGACUUUUAUAUGACACAGAUUGAGGCUUUAUGCUUUCCUAGAUUCUUUUCAACAAAUGAAUUUUCACGAUUACAAAUAAUCUUAGAUUAUUUCUGCUUUGCACAUUUGUGUCCCUUGUGUCCCUUUGGCUGUGGGUCUCAGUAUUUGUUCCCGUCUGUUUAAGAGAAAGAUUCUCUGAUGAUGACUGUGUAAGGCACUGAUCUCUGAUCCAUGAGAAUACAGAAAUAUCACCAGGGAGCAUCUUAGCAUUACAAAUUUUUAGAACUAAUAAUAUUUAAUUUUGUCCUAGAUUCCUAGGUUACCUAGUCUCUCUGGUACUGAUGACUCACGAAUUGAUGGGUAUGGGUUCCAUCUUCUGUAGUUAUGUUUAAGUCAAAUAAAAAUUCCAUUAGUUACGACCAAAAAUUUGUGUUCCCAGUGUCCUAUUGUAUUUUGAAGGCAGGACUGCUUCGUACAUCAAGGGAUUUGUGGCUGGGAUGGUGUACAUGUUUUACUUUGUUUCCCUGCAUGAACCUUUCAAGAAUCUUAAUCAUCACUUAAUAUUUUAUUAUUCUAACUAUAGUGUAUAUAAACAAUUUUUUUAUUAUUAAAGAAACAAAGGAACUAUUCCUUUUAAAUAUUUUUCAGAAUAAUUUAUGUGUCAAUACUUUGCUGACAUGUUAUUGUUUUGAACAUGUGUGUAGGCCAGAAGUCUCAUAUGAAAAAUGGGAAUUGAACUAAGAUCUUAUAUAAGAGCAAUGAUUCCACUUAAUGGCUAAGCUAUCUCUCUAGCCACAGAUCUUCUAUUAUUAUCAGUGAACAAAUACAAAUUUAAGCACAUGAUUUGUUGGCUAUGCUUUAGUUAAUUGCAUUCUUAUCCUGUCUAAGAAACUUAUUUGAGUUGAUAGCAUAAUCACUUCUGCUUCUGAAGGUAUUAUAUUUUUGGAGUUAUUAAUGAAAUGAGAAUGGUAGGAGGAUAGCAUUAACCUAAGAUGAAAGAUUUCUCUAAAACUAAAGCAAGUUGUACACAUGUUGGCAGAAUAUAUUCCCUUCAGUGAAACGUUAUGAUACUUUCCUAAAGGGGAGCACCAAAACUUUUACACACAAAUAUUUUCCACCAAGAAUGCCAUUCUUAAACAUUUCUCUUGCCCAAAUUUUAUUCAGUUUUAAGGGUCACUACUUCUAGGAAUAAUUUUCUGUAAACAUAUCAUUCUUCUUCAGGAUUUGAAAGAAAACCGUAUGAUGAACUGAGUUUAUAAUAUAUAAAACAUAAUCUGUAUAAUACAUAAAAAUAUAUACUAUAUAUCACAUAUAUUUUGUGUGAAUGGGUGUUGAAUUGUGUGUGUUGGGGAUGUGUAGGUGAAGUGUGUCUGUGUAUGUAUGUGUGUGUGUGUGUGUGCGCGUGUGUGUGUGUGCACUUUUAAAGAUUUCAAAACUGACUGAAAGGGAGGGGAGGAUAGAAUCUUUAUAUCUGAAAUCUAGAUAUUAGUCUUUCUAUAGGUCUAAACUAUUUGCCUUCUGGAACUACAGAUUACUUCCUUAAAGUUAUAUGCUUUUUUUCCCUGCAUUUACAUCCUUACCAGGUUCACUCCUCUCAAACUUUACCAUCCAUCAGCUUCAGCAAACUUUUCCUCAUUCCAGGUCAUAUGUGUGUGUAUAUAUAUAUGUAUUCAACUUCAUAUUUUUUAUACUUUACCUUUCUAUUCCAUCCCAAAUUCCUCUUCUCACUUUCCCUGUAGAAUCUGUACUAUUUUUUAACAUUAUAUUAUUCACAGCAGUUGGGUUUUUUUUUCAUUGUUGUUACUAGGGAAACUUAUUUCCCUGCGAUUCAACCACCUAAAAAAGGCCUUCAGUGUAAACACAUGUAAACUCUUCUUAAUUUAAAGUUGAUUGCUGUAAUAAAGUAUCAUGACCAAGAGCAGCUGUGGAAGGAACAAUUUAACCUUAUAUUUACAGUUCAUCAUAAGAUGGACAUCAUAAGCUGGGAAUUCACAGUAGCAACCUCAAAUCAGGAACUAGAGCAGUAAUGAAAAAAGCUACUUACUGGCUUGUUCUUUAUGCUUUUUCAUCCUGCUUUUUAUGAAAUUUAGUACCAUUUUCCUAGUAUAGGCACCAUCCCAUCCUCCAACAUUAAUAAAUAAUCAAGAAAACAUCCAUCAGAUUCAUGUAUAAGUAAGAUUGAUGAAAACAUUUUUUCAUUUUAUCAAAUAAGGAUCUGUCUUCCUGGAAAACUAUAGUCUGUGUCAAUAUAAAAAAAUUCUAGCCGGUAUAUCCUACUCUAGGAAGUGGUAAUGAACCAACAGACAAAUGGUUCUUUCUGGCCACAUAAAGUUCCCUAAUUUCUUGUUCAGCCUGUUUAUCCUUUGAGUAGAGGAAGGCUACUGAUUUGUUUGAUUUAAUUUUAUAUUCAGCCACUUUGCUGAUGUUGUUUAUCAGGCUUAAUAGUUCUCUGGUGGAACCUUUAGGGUCACUUAAGUAUACUACCAUAUCAUGUGCAAAUAGUGAUAUUUGACUUCUUUUUUUCAAAUUUGUAUCCCUUUGACCUCCUUUUGUUGUCUAAAUGCUCUGGCUAGGACUUUGAGUACCACAUUGAAUAGGUCAGGAGAGAGUGGGAAGCCUUGUCUAGUCCCUGAUUUUAGUGGGAUUGCUUCAAGUUUCUCUCCAUUUAGUUUGAUCUAGCCUACUGGUUUGCUGUCUAUGGGCUUUGAAUUCCUGAUCUUUCCAAAACUUUUAAAAUGAAUGGGUGUUGUAUUUUGUCAAAGACUUUUUCAUCAUCUAAUGAGAUUACCUAGUGGUUUUUAUCUUUGAGUUUGUUUAUUUAGUGGAUUACAUUGAUGGAUUUAUGUAUAUUGAACCAUCCCUGCAUCUCUGGAAUGAAGCCUACUUAAUCAUGGUGAAUAUGAUCAUUUUGAUGUGUUAUUGGAUUCAGUUUACAAGAAUUUUUUUGAGAAUUUUUGCAUCGAAAUUCUUAAGGGAAAUUGGUCUGAAUUUUCCUUUUUUUUUCAUUGGGUCUUUGUGUAGUUUAGGAAUAAGCAUAACUGUGGCUUCAAAGACUGAAUUGGGUAGUGUUCCCUUUGUUUCUGUUUUGUAGAAUAGUUUGAAGACUAUUGGUAUUAGGUCUUUUUUGAUGGUCUGAUAGAAUUCUGCACUAAACCCAUGUGGUCCUCGACAUUUUUUGGUUGGGAGAUUUUUAAUGGCUGCUUCUAUUUCUUUGGGGAUUAGGGGACAUUAAAAAUUUAUCCAUUUCCUCCAGAUUCUAAUUUUGUUGAGUAUAGGUUUUUGUAGUAGGAUCUGAUGAUUUUUUGAAUUUCCUCAGGUUUUGUUUUUAUGUCUCCCUUUUCAUUUCUGAUUCUGUUAAUUUGGAUCCUCUCUAUGUGCCCUCUGAUUAGUCUGGCUAAUGGUUUAUCUAUCUUGUUGAUUUUUGCAAAGAACCAGCUCCUGGUUUUGUUAAUUUGUUGUAUAGAACUUUUUGUUUCUACUUGGUUGAUUUCAGCUCUGGGUUGAUUAUUUCUUGCAUUCUAGUCCUCCUGGGUGGUGUAUUCGCUUCCUUUUUUCUAUAGCUUUCUGGUGUACUGCCAAGCUGCUAGUGUAUGGUCUCUCCAGUAUCUUUUUGGAGGAAUCAGAGCUAUGAGUUUUCCUCUUAGCACUGUUUUCAUGGUGUCCCACAAGUUUUGGUAUGUUGUGCCUUCAUUUUCGUUAAGUUGUAAAAGUCUUUUCUUUCUUUCUUUAUUUCUUCUUUGGUCAAGUUAUCAUUGAGUAGAGCAUAGUUCAGCUUCCAUGUAUAUCUGGAUUUUUGUUGUUUUCAGUCUUACUGCAGACCUGUCUUGGUCCAUGGUGUUCUGAUAGGAUGCAUGGGAUUAUUUUAAUCUGCUUGUGUCUGUUAAGACCUGUUUUGCAUUCAAUUUUACGUUCAAUUUUGAAGAAGGUACCAUAAGUUUCUGAGAAGUUAUAUUCUUUUAUCUUAGGAUAAAAUGUUCCAUAGAUAUCUCUUAAAUCCAUUUGGUUCAAAACUUCCAUUAGUUUCACUGUGUCUCUCUUUAGUUCCUGUUUUCAGGAACUAAAAGGUCUGUCCAUUGCUGACAGUGGGGUGUUGAAGUCGCCUACUCUUAUUGCGUGAGGUGCAAUGCAGGGUUUGGGCUUUAGUAAAGUUUCUUUUAUGAAUGUGGGUGCCCUUGUACUUAGAGCAUAGAUGUUUAGAAUUGAUAGUUCAUCUUAGUAUAUUUUCCUUUGAUGAAUAUGAAGUGUCCUUUUGAUAAUUUUCUCUAAACGUCAAUUUUAUUCUAUAUUAGAAUGGCUAUUCUAUCUUAUUUCUUGGGACUAAUUGCUUGGAAAUUUUUUUCCAGCCUUUUACUCUCAGAUAGUGUCUGUCUUUGUCACUGAGGUACAUUUCUUAUAUUCAAUAAAGUCUGCGCCCAGUUUAUAUACCCAGUCCGUUAAUCUAUAUCUUUUUAUUUGGGAACUGACUCUACUGAUAUUAAGAGUUAUUAAGGAAAAGUGAUUGUUGCUUCUUGUUAUUUUUGCUGUUAGAUGUGAAAUUAUAUUUGUGUAGCUGUCUUCUUUUGGGUUUGUUGCAAGAUUACUUUCUUGCUUUUCUAGGGUGUGUUUCCUUCCUUGUGUUGGAGUUUUCUAUCUAUUAUCAUUUCUAGGACUGGAUUUGUGGGAAGAUGCUCUUUCUUUAUGUUAGGGAAGUUUUCUUCUAUAAUUUUGUUGAGGUUAUUUACUUGUCUUGUAAUUUGGGAACUUUGCUCUCUUCUAUACCUAUUAUUUUUAGGUUUGAUUUUCUCAUUGUGUUCUGGAUUUCCUCAAUGCUUUUAGGAGCUUUUGCAUUUUGCAUUUUCUUCUACUAUUGUAUUGAUGUUUCUAUGGUAUCUUCUGCACCCAAGAUUCUCUCUACUACAUCUUGUAUUCUCUUGGUGACUAUGCCUUCUGAUAUCUUUCCUAGUUUUUGUUUUGUUUUGUUUUGUUUUUAAUCUCCAGGGUUGUCUCCCUUGUGAUUUCUUUUUGCUUCUAUUUCCAUUUCUAGAUCCUGGAUGGUUUUGUUCAAGUCCAUCAUGUAUUUGAUUGUGUUUUCCUGUAAUUGUUUAAGGGAUUUUUGUGUUUCUUCUUUAAGGGCUUUCUACCUAUUUGCCUGUGUUCGCCUGUUUUUCUUUAAGAGAGUUAUUUAUGUCCUUCCUAAAGUCCUCUAUCAUUAUCAUUAGAUAUAGUUUUAAAGCCAAAUCCUGAUUUUCCUUUGUGAUGGGGUAUCUAGGAUUUUCUGUAGUUCUGAUGAUGACAAGUAGCCUUGGUUUCUGGUACUUCUGUUCUUAUGCUUACCUCUUGUCAUCUGAUUAUCUUUACUACGACCUGCCCUUUCUGUCUCUGUCCUUCCUGUGAUCCUGGUUCUGUCAGACUCCUCAGAGUCUAGCUGUCUCUGUGAUCCUGUGAUUCUGGGAUCCUGAGAUCCUGGGUGUGUCAGAGCUCCUGGGACUCAAGCAGCGUCUGGGAUUUUGAAAUCCUGGUGUGAUCAAACUCCUGAGAUCCUGUUGUGGCAGUCAAGUUUUGCAGGAGGGAGUUGAGAUCCAGAGUCUUGGGCACUGUUGCAAGCUGAAAGGAACCCGUGCCUCUUGCUGGGCAGGGUUUGUAUUUCCCUGGUUCCUGUGGGGGUUCCAGUUAACCUUUGUAUUGGGAAAGAUGUUGGGGUUUCAGUUGUGAUCUUGAGUGUCUCAGAGCGCCAUUGCUCCUGGUUGUAUCUGAUCUCUUGGAAGUUGAGCUUCCUGUGUGAUCCUGUGAACCUGGGUAUUCCAGAGCACCUGGGAGUCAGGCUCCCUCUGUGUGUUGUAACCCUGGAUGCAGAGCCAGUGACCCAGGUCUGCUCCAGGUGAAGUUUCAAACUGUGAUCCUGGGCAUGUUAGAGUACCUGGGAGUCUAGCUUCCUCUGGGUGAUGUGGAACUGGAUGCGGAUUCAGCACGUGCGGUCUGCUCAGGGCACUGGUUCAGACUGGAAGGGCCCCCAUUAACUAUUUAUUGACUAUUCUUUAAAAAAAUGCAUUCGUAAUUUGAAUAAAGAAAUUGCAGUCUCCCCAUAAUCAAGGCACAGUUGCCAAUCCACAUCCUAACACACGUCCAGCUUUAUAUGACAUGUAUUUUAUGAACAUUGAAACUGAUUGAAGAAUUAGAAAUCUUUAUUAGUGGUAGGAUUAAACAUAUUUUUGUACAUCUUAAGUGUUUAUAGACCAAAUGAUCAAUUAAUAACCUUGAGCCCUGUGGGGAUUUAUUAAGCUCCACUGUUGUCAUCAUUUGUUUUAUUUUAUUUAGUCCUUUAUAUUAAGAAGGAUCAAAGCAGAAUAGCAUCCCAUUCUCCUAUACGUUGUCAAAUACCCACAUCUUGCUUUGAAUUGUUUGUAAUUUAUAAUAACUCAAUCUGAGAUAAGUGACACAUUACAAAAGUGAUUGUGGCAUUGCCUAUUGCAUUGAGGUUGUACAAGUUCUAGCACAGAGGUGAAUUAGUCCAAUAAAGAGUACAACAUACAAGUUAGAAGUAAAUGGAAGGACAAGACAAAAUAAGCCUGGCCUAAGACCUCAAAAAUUGGCUUUCCAUAGUAUCAGUAUAUUUAGGUAUAAACAUUUUUUUUUAAAUUGAGACCCAUAAGUUAAAAAAUUACAUAAAAUGAAUCAAUUCUGUUGAAACAGUGCACCCAGAGUCUUUAAUAAUAUUAGUUAUAUGCUAACUAUAAUUUACCUUACCAACAUGCUCAAUUAACUUGUAGGUACAUCUGGAAAGAAUUCCAUCAUUGAGAUAUUUGAAUAGUCUCAUGCUCAGGGAGUGUGCAGGCAAUUUGAUCUUAGAAAUACUACAAGCUAAACAUAUAUAAUAUAUUAAUGUAGAAUAUAUAUUAUACAUACAUUAUAUAGCACAUUCUAUAUGUAUGUAGAUGUGUAGAUGAGGAUAUAUAAAUAUGCAUAUAUGUAUAAAACAUAAAAUAUAUGGUGAAUUGCUAGGAUUAGACUGCUCUAUGGAAAGUCAAAGGUUAUAGAAAAUGGUAAGUGAAACCCUGAAGUUAUACAAGGACAAGAGUGAUCCACCUGUGGGAGAACAGCCAGAAGUUAAUCAUCUCUGAACCAGGAGCAACCUUCAAGUAGACAUUUAGCUUCCACCUCCUGCCCAUGAGUUCUUCAGCUCUAACUUUGUGAAGAAAGUUUUGCUAUGUUGCUAAGGUUAUGCUACUAUGAUAUGUCAUCUCAAAUAAAAUAGAAUAGAAUGGAUUCAUAUAUACAUUCAGGUAGUACCUUAAACAAACAAAUAAUUAAAAUCCCAGGGGAGUAAAAAUGCUAGAUAGUACAGCAUAAUCUAAAAGCAAAAAGAUUUAACCAAUGUAUCUUUAGUAUUAAAGUAUGUAAAUAGUCUUCAGAAACAGUGAUGUUGCCCACCAGUAGUGAAAUAAAUUAUAUGCUAAAAAGUUUAUAAUUAAUCUGGUGGUUACAUAUAUAAGUCAUAAAAUGGUCGUGUUUACCUUUAGAAGUAUUCUGAAGACCUUGAGAGGACAAGGAGCUCUACAGGUUGACUCAAGGAAUAAUUCAGUACCUUGAAUUAAAAAUGAACUUAAAAGAUCAUACAUUUAAAAAAUGAUUAAUAGGUAUUCAGGACUUCUUCAGAGCAUAGUCUCAUUCAGGCCUUGUGCUAAUAGUCUGUAAGAGGAAGCAGGCAGCAUAUUAAUGACAUUUUUUAAUAAGACAAAGUUGAGAGAUACUGGACCAUAAGUUAGAUCUUAAAAUAAUCUGUUUUAUAAGUGUCUGUAGGACAUUUAAGAGGCAUGAGGAAAAUCAUGAAAUGGUACCCAGGAAGACUCAGUUCAAUGUGCUGUAUCAUUAGAUUUUUUCAAUAACCAGAAAGCUCACUGAAUGAAUAAAUGAACUACAUUUGAACCUAAAAGUUAAAACAUUAUUUGUAUGACGUCACAGCAGAUUAUCUGUAUAACACAUGGAAAAUUUUAUAAUCAUCAGUUCCAUGUAAGAAGUAAACUAUUUGGAGGAUUUUUGAAGGUAUUGUUUUUUUUUUCUUUAAGAUACUGAAUCUUAGGGGUUUAAGAGAAUUUUUAUUCUAUGGAGAGGUUCCCAUAACUGACUAGUUAAGUAUCACAGAAUGAAGAUGCAGUUGCUUUUGUAAGAUUAUAGAAUAAGAUUCUGGAAGCAUGACAGCAUCAUUCAUUAAAACCUUGUUAAUCUAUUGUUGAACAUAUGCCUCAUUCUAAUGAUGGUUUUAGGUUGUUAUAGAGUUUCAUGCUUAAUAGAUGUGUGAAUUUUCUUAUCUCAAUGAAAUUUAAAACUCUUAUUUUGUCUUUCCUGUUCUACAUAUACAUUUCAAUAAGCAUAAAAUCACACACACACACACACACAUAUAUAUAUACAUAUAUAUAUAUUUAUUACAGUUUUCUAUUACUAGUGGUAUCACAGAUGAACACAGCUAUUUCUAUGCUUAUAGUUUUCAAGGUAGUUAUUGCUCAACUGCAAAUACACUGGGAAUAAGAGUAUCUAGGAUUAAGAUUAACAAUGAGUAUUUUCUUUGUUCCUAUGCCUACUCUCACUGUCAGUUUGGUAAAGGAGUAAGUAGUGACAUGACAUCUAAAUUCAGUGACUCUAAAGCUAGUAACUUUAAUCUAAGAAAAUAUCAUUCUUCAGUGAAGGAAAUCUCAAAAGGAUAAGGAUGAGUACUAAGGGAUAUCACAUACCAGUUCAGAAUCUUCUCGGUCAAUGGGAAAGAUAUCUCUCUUUUUAAAGAGUCAUAAAAAUAAAUAAGGCAUAAAUUAAGUGGCUUUGUACCAGAGCUUCUAUUGACAAAAUUACAUGACUUCUACUAUGACACUCUUACUACUCAGGAAUAAAUGUUCAGAAGACCACAUUCCCAAUGACCUAAAAUUGCAUAAGCAAAAAUAGGCAUUCAAUGGUCAUUUUCUUAUCCAUUCUUUCCAGACAUGUAUUUUACAUAAUCACUUAGGUCAAGAAAUAAUCUUUAUGGGUGGCCCAUCUUCCUGAAUAAACUCCAUCUAUGCUUCUUGAACAAAGCUUUUACGAAUUUUCUGUAUGGAAUUAGCCAAGAUUUGUUUUUCUGGAAUACAGGUUGUAGGAAAACCCAGUACAGCUUAAAUGUACUCUUUCUUCAGUCUUCUCUCGGUAACUUGCUUUCCCUUUCUCCUGGAAACAUUAACAUAAAUCCAUCCUUGCCUUUCCUUUCAAUAAUUCAUUUCACUGUGUCAUCAAAUUUUGUGGCCACUAUCUUAAUAUAUUUAUAAUUAACUUACCCCCUCCACUAUUAUGCCUUUAAUGCUAGAAAUAUUUUUUCUAAUCUAUAUGCAAAAAUGCUCUAAAUGGUUUCAUUGUUUCUUUUAGUUACACAAGUAAUAUACUUCUAAAGUAUUAUUCUUGGUGAUCAAUGUUAAAACAUCAGUAAUCUUUUUUCAUUUCUCUAUUCAAUUGUCUUCCAGGUUUCCUACCUUAACACUAGCAGAAGUCAAAAGUCUUCUUGGCAUCCCAGGUUUACAACUGUUACCUUAAUUUCAGCUGUUUUUGUUGUAUUACUUCAGUUCGACAUCUUUGGUCACUUUUUUGUUUGUUUGUUUUCUGAAACAUUUGAGCAGAUGUCUUCCUGGUACCUUUGUUGAUUCCUCCAUAGGAAAUAAUUUCUCAGUUGCUGUUUUUAUUUCUGACAUGUUUUUCCCCUAUAUAACUUCUGUGUUGUAGUUGAGAUGUCCUCCUAUUUCGAUGACACCAAGUAUAUUCUUCAUAUGUAUCUUAUCUACAAUAUAGAAUCUGAUUUAUAGUGACCAUAACAAUAGGGAUAUCCUCACUCACAUAUACUUUUCUCAUCUUAAGGGAUAGUGAUUUAUUUUUUCUUCAAUUUUUUUGAAUCUGGACCACAGAUUUUUGAGCAGAGAAUAUGAAUUGUACCCUUAUGUUACAGCCAAACAUAAGAAUAUAAGAAUGGUCGUUCGGGUUUACUCGGUAUCAAGGUGUCAAGAGUCUCCAUAGAAUUUCUCUUUCUUUUCUUUCCCUUUGUUUUCAAAGAUAAAACCAAUAUGUUAGGCAAGUACAGUUAAAUUGAAUACAAGACAUGCAUGAGAUCAACGUAAAGCAUGCAAUCUCUUUUAAGAUACUAGAUAAUAUUUGUCUACAAUAGUUACCUUGUCAGAGAACCUCACAAAUAUCAAUGUAUUUUGCUAUCCCACAACAUAGUUAGCAAAUAAAAUACAUUAAUCACAUUAAAGACUGCCUUUUACAUAAUUCUCUUUUAUGCACUUACAAAUUAUUUUUAUUCAUCUGAUGAACAGAAUGCAAUUUUUUCAAAGGUGUGGAGUUUCACCUGCACAGCCUUUCGUUCUGAGAUUAAACCUUCCCCUUUGGAAUGAAACUGAUUAAGGCCCAGACGUUUGAUGGGAGAUGAAACUACAGGCUCUUUGUUGGUGAGAUGACAUAAUCCUUCUUCAAGGGAAGUUUCUUAGACUCAGGGCGGCCCUUAGUUAGGGUUUCUAUUGCUGUAACAAAACAUCAUGAACAAAAGCAACUUGGGGAGAAAAGGUUUAAUUCACAUUUCAGCUUGGAAUUCGUCAUCCAGGGAAAGCCAGUUCAGGAACGCAAGACAGGAAUCAGGAAGCAGUAACUGAUGCAGAGACCAUGAGACAGCCUAUUUACUGGUUUGCUUCCCAUGGCUUACUCAGCCUGAUCGCUCAUACAAUUAAGGACACUUGUUCAAGUGUGGCACCAGCCACAAUUAACUGGGCCCUCAAACAGCAAAAAACUGAUUAAGUAAAUAUACCACAGACUUGUUUACAUCCCAAUCUGGUGGAGGUUAUUUCUCACCUGAAGUUCUCUCUUCAAAUGUCUCUAGCCAGUAUCAAGUUGACAUUGAACUUAAACAUCACAAGUGGUAAAGAACUCAAAUGCUUCAGGCGGUUCCUGAAGGUGACCAGAUUCACUGUGGUCCUCAUUCACACAAUAGUACAGAUGCUUCAAUAUAGGUUGAAAGAAACAUUAGACACGUUCAGCUGUCUAGAAACCUCUUUUAAAAAAAGUUUUUUAUUAGAAAAAUUUCUUUACUUACAUUUCAAAGGUUAUUCCUCUUCCCGGUUUCCUGUCUAUAAGUCCCCAUUCCCUCCCCUCCCCGUCCCCCAUACCGGUAUGCCCCCUAUACAUCCCCUUUUGCCCACCCCAUAUUCCCCUACCCUGUGUGGUCCAACCUUGGCAAGACCAAGGGCUUCCCCUUCCCCUGGUCCCCCAACAAGGCUAUUCUCUGCUACAUAUGCAGUUGGAGCCCUGGGUCAGUCCAUGUAUAGUCUUUCUGUAGUGGUUUAGUCCCUGGAAGCUCUGGUUGGUUUGCUUUGUUGUUCUUAUGGGGUUGCAAACGCCUUCAACUCUUUCAAUCCUUCCUCUAAUUCCCCCCAAGGUGGUCCUAUUCUCAGUUCAGUGAUUUGCUGCUAGCAUUGACCUCUGUAUUGGAUAUGCUCUGGAUGUGUCUCUCAGGAGAGAUCUAUAUCCGGUCCCUUUCCGCAUGCAUUUUCUAGAGAAGCCUCUUAUAUAAGCUGAGCUCUCUAUAGGUGACCCAGACCAGAGCAGUUUUUGGAAGGAACAAGACCAGCCAAAUCCUGUGGAAGAAACAUAUAAAUCAGACAGAGCAGGAAAGAGCUCACCUACCAGGAAGAGGGUCCGACCACACGAGCUACCUGCAACGGACCCACUUCAAACUAUUGUGUUCUCAGAGCUGAGGACCGCACCCAGGGCCUUGAGCUUGCUAGGCAAGCACUCUACCACUGAGCUAAAUCCCCAAAGCCCAUUUUUGUCUAUAGGUUUGCUCCUGUAAAACUCCUAAGUGCAUACUUCUGGUCAGUGAAAUCUCAUUCAAUUGAUUUGGUUAUUUUCGAGUUACUAAACAUGUUUAAUAAAUUGUGCUUAGUUUACACAGAGCACAUUAGAACUAUAACCAACAUAAUUGAAAGUAUGAUGGUGAUUUUAGAGUGGCAACCUUAACGUGACAUGUUUCUAUUAGUACCUUGUUUCUUUCAUAAUUUUAAUUCAGUUUGUAUAUAGCACUGAAGUUGAAUGUUAAAGGUAUAUUCCCUGUAGAGUACAAAUCUUUUUUUUUCUUUGUCAAUUACAGAAGCUCAGAGCUGAGUCUAAACUCCUAGACCACUUAAAUUAUUCCUUCAUUUCUCCUGAUAGAUUUUUGUCAAAUAAUACAGUUGCAAUUAGUAGCAAAGAACCAUUUUGCUUCAAAUAGAAUGCUUCCCCAGGGUGAAAGACAUUUAUACAAUGUUUGUAUUGUACAGUCUGAAAGAAAACAAAAAUUUCCAACCUGGGAAAUCAGCGAAGGCUUCUAGGAAGGGACAAAAUAAAAAUAGGGAAAAUGAAAAGAUACUUAAAUUGUCUAAAUGAAGGUUAAAUUCUGAGAAAAAGAAACUAACAUAAAAAAACGCAUUAUCAAUAAUCCUUCACAGGAAGAACUAAAAAGCUAGGAAAUACUAAAAAUAAUUCCAAUUUUAUCAAAAGGCUUUUUCAUAAUAAAGCAUCUAUUUUUCCUCUGAUGCAUCUGGUCUUUGUAAAAAGCAUAGAAGAAGGAAAUAAAAACUCAUAAUGGGGAAAGUCAUAAUCACAACUCCUACAUAUUCUUCAAAAUAGAAGGAUUGACUUAGACUUGUUGUUUGUACAUUUAUUUUUAGAAUCAAAUGAGAACUCAGGGGAAAUCUAUAUUUGGUACUAUUAAUAAAUUCUGCUAAUAGAUUCCCCUGUAACAGUCAGACCAUGUCCCAAAUAAAAGAGGCAUGUUUUUAUUUUAAUGGUAGAAAUAUCUGGUAAAUCAAACCACACUGGUAUGUGUGCAUUUACCUUCUGAGGAUUACUGUAUCAAUUAACUUCAUGUAGCUAGUUACCUGUAACUGUCAAACGAACAGCCAUCUAAGAGAAUGAUACAAAACUGUAUCUCCAUCAGAAUAGAUUUUGUGACUCAGGAUUGCACACAUGGUUGUGAUUCCUAGGACAAUUGAAAGACAAGUAUUGAAAGCCAGGUAAAGCUCAGAUUUAUGACAAUUCUUAAAAUAUACUGAGUCAUCUGUAAGUGUGAAGGAGACUUACAUUGAUAAUUUCAAAUGAAAAGGAAAGAGAAAUUUCUCUGAGCCUGCCAUAUUUGUCUCUUUAUCAUCAGUCUGUCUUUCAGUUUAUCAUUCAUGUUUGUAUGUAUGUAUGUAUUAAUGUAUGAAUUAUCUAUCUAUCAAUCUAUUUAUCUAUUUAUCUAUAUAUCAUAUGUCUAGCAUGUCUUUAUAUUAUGUAUAAUCUAAUAUAACAUAAUCUAUAUUUCUUUCUACCUAUCUCUCUACCUAUCUAUUUAUCUAUCAACCACCUAUCUAAAAAUCAAUCUGUGUUUGGCUUAUAAAUAUGCCAUAUAUGCAAAAUACGAAAUUAAUUAGCACAAUACUACAUUACCAGUCAAGCAAGUGGUUUCAAAGGGUUAUAUUAAUGACAUUAAAGUGAAAUUCGUGUAAUAUUAAUUUAAAUUUGAAUUUAUUUGAAAAUAAAAACCAAUCAAACCAAAACAGGAGCAUUCUUACUCUUUGCAAAUUGGAACAUUUACUUUCUCCUGGACAUCUGGAAGAAGUUGUACUCUGUCCUCUCUAUUAUCAAAACACAAUUUUACAGUUGUACAACAAAGAACAUAAUUAAAAAUUUUUGUUGAAGUUUUAAAUUUUCAAUUGCCUUCUUUUCUUUUUCUCUUAUAUCUUUCACACUUCUCUCACAGCCUUUUGCUACAUCUCAAAACAGGCCUUCUUUAUUCUUUGUUAUUUUAUACACACACCCAUGCACAUGCACACAUACACACACACACACACACACACACACACACACACACACACACACCACCUGAUAACACACAUGCCUAAAUAUAUAAAGUCAAAGGAACCUCUCAGUUCCUUUAGUGCCAUAUAUAUAUAUAUAUAUAUAUAUAUAUAUAUAUAUAUAUAUAUAUAUAUAUAUGACUGGAAGAAUGCAGUCUGUUUUAUUAAGCAAUUAAAAGGAUAAUAUUCCAAUAUUAAAUUCUCAUUGUAAAUAGGAAAACUAAAAUGAUACUUUCUAGGGUUAUAAGAGGUAUCUGACUAACAAUGAUAAUUAUGAAUAAUGGAUAUUAAACACUCUGACUAUCCAGGAGCCCUUUGCUUGUGUUUGUAUACAGUGUUUGUUUUUCUUAUCAUCUGCUGGCCUUCUAUUAAUGUUCCUACAAAGCAGGCACUAAUAUAAUUUUCCCUGUUUUACAGGUAAAAUCACAGCAUGGUUGUAUAAUAUGCUUUAGUCACUACUGGGACCACAAUUCCGAAUGUCAACAGUGUAGUUUAUGUACUUAUGCAAGACAUUCUAGAGCAUUUCCAUCUAUAUUUUUUCUACCAAGCAAUAUUUGUCAAGCAAUAUAUCCUUCCAAGUUUGGGUAUGUAUGGAUUAAAUCUGAGAAUUUGGUGUUUGGCCACAGGCCCAGGCAAGUGCCAAAAGAGCAAAUUGCUCUGGUAUCAGGUUAUAGAUCUGAUAAAUUGGUAGUGCCUGCCAGUAAAAGUCGAUGGAGGAUUCUGUGACUCAUGUCUUUUGAGGAAAAUCUAAUGGGAUGAAUUCAUGAAGACAGACUACAGUGCUCUGGGAGGUGGGCAGUAAGACAUUAGUUUGUUUCAGAGAGCUGAAUAUCUUGGAUAGUUUAUAAAUGAGAGAUGAGAAUAAAAGUUAGGAAAGGGUAAACAAGAAUGAUACUAAUGAGCAUGUCAAACAGACAGAGAAAAGACCAAGAAGCUGUAAUGUUUCUGAAAAUCAUCCCUGAAAGUCACAAUGUGAAAUUCCCGGGCCUUCUUCCUACUUCAGAUUAGUUCACACAGAUCUCCCUUUGCAAUGCUUGGUCUGAGUCCACACAGAUCUCCCUUUGCAAUGCUUGGUCUGAGUAAUUCUGCUCAAAUUAUUUUGUCUUGUGACAAAAUUCUUUCCUUCACGAAUGAAAUAUUACAGAGAUGACUAUAACAGUUUUUUUUUCACAAAGAGCUUGUAUACAUCCAUUAUGGCUUAGUUCUUACAGUCAAAAGCAAGCACCACGACUUCUACAAAAUGGCAGGCAACAGUGUGCCCUGGACACUGCUGGGGGCGAUUGUCUGGCUUUUAUUCAUUGGGCCACUUUCCAUAUUCCUCUACUAGCCUGACUGGAAAUUUGACUACAAUCUAUUGGCAUCUAACUUCCUCUUCCCUCCAGCAUUUUGAACGAAGACAUUUCCAGUUUUUAAAUGUAUUUAUUUUACUUAUUUAUCUGGGUGAUGUGCCACUCUCUUCUAGGCAGAUUGCACAGUUGACAGCCAUUAGCCCCACUCAGGGAUUCAGGGACGGUGCCAGGGGACACAAUGAGCAGGUGCAGCUAUUGCCAUUCACCUGAUCAGACUGCGGUCUCCUGAGAAUGUCAUUUGUUGAAACAGCUCUUAGCCCAUUUUGGCUACAGGGGGAUUUAGCACUGACUGUAGAACCUAGAGACUCCAGUUUAAGACAAGUGGCCUGGAAGAGAGAUAAGCACAUGCUCCUGAGAUGUGCCUGGUAAUUAGCUCUCCACAGCAUAAAUCGUUCAUCUCCAAAUGAUGAAUUUUAAUUUUAUUUCCAAAACCUUUCAAGGGGAAGAAGGUGUCAGAGUUUAACACUAGCUACUAGAUUUAACAUAAACGGCUAUUUGCCAAUUAGUUUCUGUUUGCCAAUCGUUUUUGUCCUAAUAUGUUGGAAAUGAAUUAUGUGGCUCAAGGUGAAAUGAAAUCUAUAAUCCUCUGUAUAGUGUUGAAAUACUAAAUCAUGUUAAUGAAGUGAGUGUCAAACAGGAGCACACUGCUGAUUUAUACACACACAGCAGGUGUGUGCUUCAACCAGAUCUGAAUUUGGACUAAAAAGGAUGUGGCUUGUGUGGCUAUGAGGAAAACAUGGAUUUCUAGGAGUUCAGGAGGGAAUAUCAGAAGGAAGCUGGGAAAGUCCCCUCAUGUGCAUGGACAACACUAACAUGAUCAGCCUGGCAGGCAGAAGAGAGACAAGGAAUGGCUAAAUCAACCCUCAACUACUCUGCAAGCUUAGGAAGUGUGUGGCCACUGUAUCAUAGGACUGACUAGGUUAAACAUAGCAUAGCAUAAAUAGUAAAGGGACCAAGGGGAGGGAGCUGAUGUAGGACCUCUGUCUAACACAUAUCAAGCCAGAUGUGUUAUCCCCAGGGGCAGAGGACUUUGCAUAGGUGCUAUACCAGAAUCCACCUUUAUACAAAAUUCCAAGAUUCUGUGGAGUGAUAGGAAUGUGUCCUCUAACUCGGUGACUUUAAAUAACUUACUCUUGCCUGAGAUACUGUUAUUGGGUGAAUUUUAUAUCCUAAAAAUGUAUGUUGAAGUUCUGAGUCAGUACUUGAUAAUGUGGCUGUAUUUAGCAAUGGGGUCUUUGCAGAUGCAAUCAAGUUAAGAUGAGGUCAUGCUGAAUUAGAGUAUUCUCUUAAUCAAAUAUGAAUGAUUCAUCCAUAAAAAGAAAGGGUUUAGACAUUCUGGAGACAUAUAAUUGGGCCAGGUGCUAAAGGGCAAACAGCACAUAACAAGCUAGGCAGGGACUAAAGGAUAAAUGCCUGCAGAUUCCAGCAGCCAGAAGGAAGGACAGAUUCUUUUGCACUGCCUUGGAAAGAGCAGAUCCAAUCGGCUUCUUCACUUCAGAUCUUCAUCCACAGAACAAUAAGAAAAUCUACUGUUUUAUGUUUGUUUUUGUUUUCUUAUUUUAUUAUAGAAACUCUACAAUUCAGCAGGUCAUUACGAUGUUGACAUGAUUAAAUUAUGUAUGAAAAGUCACAUGUGACGAACUGAAAUAGACCAAGUCCUGCAUGACAACAGCGUCCUCUCUGAGGAACAUUUGUCUUCCUAGUAGUAGAGAUUAAAAUCCAUUAACAUUUCAUUUACAUAUGUUGAACUGUCAUUUUUCAUGCAUGUUUAUCUAAACGAACUUUACAGUCCAGAGACUCUAUGUAGUGACCACUGACAUUCUGCAGUGGAAUAUCAUUAGUGGUCCAGCGCCCUCCUAUGCUAUACCAAUGCCCGAAUGCCUCCUACUCUAUUGCCUGCUGUCCUAGAAAUCCAUGUGUCUUAAAUUGGUUUGGAGGGAAGGCCAUUCUCAUGUUCAAAUACGAAACAAUGGGGACAAGUGUUGUGUAAUCUGCAUCCUGGUCAUGAUAUGGCCAUUACACAGAUGCAUGCUGUGGUUACCUGUAUAAGACUCAUCAACUGUUUGCAGAGAUGGGGAGGGUCACUGGAAGAUCCUCUCUUAGCUGAAUGGCUAUUGACAAUUAGUAGCUGCUAAGAUUACAAUGGGAACUUUUUUUUUUGUUUUUUUCAGAGUUUAACCAAAAUUAAGUUGCCCAUGAUCCAAUAAAAACUUCGCACUAGUGUACACACAUAAACCCUAACAGAAUUCAAUUGUUUCCUUUGCAUUUUAAAAGAGAGGUUUCAUUUUUUUAAAUUAAUUAAUUAAUUUACAUCUAGCCACAGUUUCCCUCCCUCCACUUUCCCCAGUCCUUUCCAUCCCACUCCCAGCUUCUAUCUACUCUUCCUCUAUUUCUCUUCAGAAAAAGGGAUGUUUUUCAUGGAUACAAACUGGCCUUGGCAUAUCAAGUUGCAGUAAGAAUAGGCAGGUCUUCUUUUAUUGAGGCUACACUAGGCAGCCCAGUCAGGUGAAGGGUCACAAAGGCAGGUAACAGAGUCAGAGAUUGCCUCUGCUCCUGUUGUUAGGGGCAGCACAUGAAGGCCAAGUUGCACCUCUGCUAAAUAUAUGAAGAGGACCUAGUUCAGACCCAUGCAUGCUCUCUGGUCCUUAUGGGCCCUGGCAAGUUGGUUCUGUAUGUUUUCUUAUGGCGUCCUUGACCUCUCUGGCUCCUAUAAUUCUUACUUCCUUCUUCUGCACGAUUCUCUAGGAUCUGCCUAAUGUUUGGCUCUGGGUCUCUGCACCUGCUUCAAUCAGUUGCUAGUGAACGCACUGUUGAAGAUUAGGGUAGGUUCCUGUCUGCAACUUUGGUGAAUUCAUUAAUAUGUCAGGGGUGGGCUACCUCUCAUGGCAUGGGACUCAGGCUGAACCAGUCAUAGGUUGGCCAUUCCCUCAGUUACUGCUCCAUGAUUACCCAUGCACAUCUUGUAGGUUGAAGGUUUUGUGGUGUGACUGGUACUGGAAUGCCUCUAUUAGAAAUCUUGCCUGGUUUGAGGACAUAGUAAUUUCAGGCUCCAAAUCCCCAGUUGCUAGCAGUCUUACCUAUGGUCAUCCUCAUAAAUAUCUAGGAUUUUCCAAUGCCCUAGUUUUCUAGUUCAUCCCAGAGAUGCCUACUCUCCAGCUGUCUCUCCAAGAACUCUCUUUUCCACCUUCCCCUUACCUUAUCUCUCUUCUUCUUAAACAAGGCUUCCCCACCCCACAUUCAGUGCUCCCCCACCAGUCCCUGCCCACUGAUGUUGACUAUUGUAUUUCCCUUCUCAGUGAUAUUAUCGAUGGCUUAUCUUUAAAUGUAGACAUAAAUACCGAAGAGGGAAGGUUGUGAAAAUAAGGAUCUCAGAGGGAUUGGGAGGAAGAUAACCCAGGGAAGGAGGUGAGUAUGAUUAGAAAAUGUAACACCCCCUAAAUGAAGUUGGUAAUACAUUUUUAAAAUUUAAAUUAAAAAUUAAAAUAUAGUCAGGGGAAAAUCAAUAAAAAGUGUCUCGGCCAACUGUAUUAAAUAGUCAAUGAGUUGAUUUAUUUUCUACUAAUAUUUAGAAGUACUGGUGUCUGUCAGCACAGAGAAAUGGCAACUGCAUAUACAAAUUCAAUGAGCACAACAUGGAAAACAUAUCUAAUAAGGUAUCCUUUCUUGUUUUCCAUUUUAAGUUGUUAAAUCUCAAAAUAGAGUAAACUCCCACGUCUGUAACAGAAGUGCUUUACAGUCUCUCUCCUUACUCACAGAGCACUUUCCCUAAACACCUUGAGUCCUAAAUACCUCUUCUGUAUUUUAGUUUAGAACUUUCUUUUACUACCAAUACAGUAUACGAAGAUGAAUAUUCAGGGGAAAUUUCUUAGUCCAAGAUCUAUCCAUACUAGCAAUGCUUAACAUUAGCAAAUAAUACAUUCUAUAUUUUCAAAUACUUCAUAAUGGUAUUAAAUAACUAUCAAGCCAUGCUUAUCAAAACUAUAUGGUACUGUAGGUACUAACAGUAAUAUUUAGCUGCACUAACACAGGUGCUAUAAAAGAAGGCUGAUUUUGUAAAGGAUACUGAUGUCAACAACUUAAUAAACAUUAAAAACCAUGUGUCACGCAAGAAUUCAAGUGAUAAGUAAAGGCAAUAAAUUACUAGAUUUUUAAAAAUUUACCUAGGGAGGGUUUUGCACACACUAAGCAUUUAUAGUACCACUCUGUCUCGAUCAUAAGUCUUAAUAUACGUUUUUAACAUUCAAGCUCCAUCUAUAAGACCAUUAACUAUAUAUAGUAAGAUGAUGCUACAAUUUUUUGUGUCUAUAAUUUUCUCAAAAUUUAUUAGGUGACAUUUAAAACUUUCCAGUACAUAAUUCAUCUUCAUGUGUACCAGGUAUUUCUCUAAAGGCUUUUAAAUAGCCUAAAUUACUUAACUUCAGGAAUGCCCUGUGAGAUGAAUGUUUAUUAUCCAUAUUUUGAAGAAAUAGGUCACAGACAAUUUGAGUGAAGACCCCAAGGUCAAAGACAAUUGAGUCCCAGAUUCCCACCCAGAGCAGGUGAAAAACUAAGUCCAAAAUCAUUUAGUUUCACAAUUUCCUAGCAAAAGAGCAGUCAAUAUAACUAAAUCGCAUAGAACUAUAAAGACCCACAAGAAAAAAAUCUGUCAUAAAUAGGAAAUAUUUUCUUUCCGAGUGAUUUUGUCUAAAUUUAAGAGAAAAUAUCAACUCACCAAACAAACCAAAGCUUUUCAGCUACAUGGUACUUAAGUAUAAGUGUAAAAUAUUGAAAGAAUUUAAUUUCUUCAAAAGCCUUUAUGAAUAUUAAAUUUAAUGAUUAAUUUUUCAGGGGGCGGGCACUAGAAAAUGGUUGAUCAUUUAAGAGCACUAUUUUUUUCUUGUAUGGAACCAAUCUUCCUGCCAGUCCACAAAUAUCUGAGCACCAGGCAAAGACAAACACACACACACAUACACACACACAUACACACAUACACACACAUAUACACACAUACA
Non-coding RNA from Rattus norvegicus (Norway rat), 22768 nucleotides. NCBI's taxonomy places the organism in Eukaryota, Metazoa, Chordata, Mammalia, Rodentia, Muridae. The record is from RefSeq and is a predicted model, not a curated record.